RNAcentral lists this ribosomal RNA (744 nucleotides) under Gramella sp. MAR_2010_21. RNAcentral's name for it is "bacterial SSU rRNA". It matches the Rfam family "Bacterial small subunit ribosomal RNA", at positions 105 to 845 of the family's 1533-position model. Lineage: Bacteria; Pseudomonadati; Bacteroidota; Flavobacteriia; Flavobacteriales; Flavobacteriaceae. The record is from RNAcentral.
GGUGGGUAACGCGUAUACAAUCUGCCUUUAAGCGGGGAAUAGCCCAUGGAAACGUGGAUUAAUACCCCAUAGUCUAUAAACUUCACCUGGAGAUUAUAGUAAACAUUUAUGGCUUAAAGAUGAGUAUGCGUCCUAUUAGUUAGUUGGUAAGGUAACGGCUUACCAAGACGGCGAUAGGUAGGGGUCCUGAGAGGGAGAUCCCCCACACUGGUACUGAGACCCGGACCAGACUCCUACGGGAGGCAGCAGUGAGGAAUAUUGGACAAUGGAGGCAACUCUGAUCCAGCCAUGCCGCGUGCAGGAAGACGGCCCUAUGGGUUGUAAACUGCUUUUAUACGGGAAGAACCACAUCUACGUGUAGAUGCUUGACGGUACCGUAUGAAUAAGGACCGGCUAACUCCGUGCCAGCAGCCGCGGUAAUACGGAGGGUCCAAGCGUUAUCCGGAAUCAUUGGGUUUAAAGGGUCCGUAGGCGGGAUAAUAAGUCAGUGGUGAAAGUCUGCAGCUCARCUGUAGAAUUGCCAUUGAUACUGUUGUUCUUGAAUUAUUAUGAAGUGGUYGGAAUGAGUAGUGUAGCGGUGAAAUGCAUAGAUAUUACUCAGAACACCUAUUGCGAAGGCAGMUCACUAAUAAUAUAUUGACGSUGAGGGAMGAAAGCGUAGGUAGCGAACAGGAUUAGAUACCCUGGUAGUCUACGCCGUAAACGAUGGUUACUAGCUGUUCGGCUCGAUUGAGAGCUGUAGUG